GAUGAACGCUGACAGAAUGCUUAACACAUGCAAGUCUUUGGCUAAUCUGUGCUUGCACAGGCUAGCCAAUGCGGACGGGUGAGUAACGCGUAAAGAACUUGCCCUGCAGACAGGGAUAACAUACGGAAACGACUGAUAACACCUUAUCCAGUUGCCGGCACGCAUGUGCCUUGCAAUGAAAAGAAAUGCUGCAGGAGGGCUUUGCGUCCUAUUCGCUUGUUGUUGAGGUGACGGCUCACCAAGGCGAUGAUAGGUAGCCGGCCUGAGAGGGUGAACGGACACAAGGGGACUGAGAUACGGCACUUACUCCUACGGGAGGCAGCAGUGGGGAAUAUUGGACAAUGGGGGCAACACUGAUACAGAAAUUCUGUGUGCACGAAGAAGGUUUUCGGAUUGUAAAGUGCUUUCAGAAGGGAAGAAGAAAGUGACGGUACCUGCAGAAGAAGCGACGGCUAAAUACGUG
Molecule: ribosomal RNA, 463 nt
Filed under: uncultured bacterium
Lineage: Bacteria
Description: partial 16S ribosomal RNA
Rfam family: Bacterial small subunit ribosomal RNA
Source: RNAcentral